UGGUUCUGGCAUCGAUGAAGAACGCAGCGAAAUGCGAUAAGUAAUGUGAAUUGCAGAAUUCAACGAAUCAUCGAAUCUUUGAACGCACAUUGCGCCCAUUGGUAUUCCGAUGGGCAUGCCUGUUCGAGCGUCAUUUCAACUUCCAAGCUCUACUGCUUGACGUUGGAGCUUCUAUACAUUAAACCUAUAGGCUCUGAAAGAUCUUGGCAGUGUUCUUAUAAGCCCAAACGUAGUAACUUUCCUCGUUUAGGGUCCUAUAGGGGCUUCGCCAUAAAACCUACUAUAUUUUAAAGUUGACCUCGGAUCAGGUAGGAAUACCCGCUGA
This 325-nucleotide unclassified non-coding RNA is filed under the name uncultured fungus. RNAcentral's name for it is "partial contains 5.8S ribosomal RNA and internal transcribed spacer 2". The stretch from base 1 to 133 matches the Rfam family "5.8S ribosomal RNA", at positions 22 to 154 of the family's 154-position model. The record is from RNAcentral. Lineage: Eukaryota; Fungi.